AUGACUAACCUCUGUUUGGUGGUGCAGGAGGAGAAAAUGAAGCGGCCGCUCUCACACAUGCAGGCGUGGGAGAUCGCCCAUACGCGGAAGGACUCCAAGCCUGGCGAGCCCAAGUACUACGGCAAGAAGACCGUGGGGAGGAAGAAGGCCUACUCCGAAGCGUAUCUGAAGUUACAUCCUGACACACCUGACCCCAUUGCGGCGAAUCUGGACGAGAGGGCGGUGGUGAGCAUGGGGCCCAAGGAGCACGGUCGGGAGGCGGUUCUCGAUGCUGUGAUCACUCCUACUAUCUCCUACACACAGCUCCGUCGGAUCGACCCGAUCCUGAGCCAGCGCACGAGCCAGCCAGUGACCAGUGCACAGUCCCUCUUUCAGGAGCAACAAUCUGUAAGUAUUUUCCCUCUUAUCUUCAUUGCUCACUUUAUUUUCCGCAUUUAG
Molecule: ribosomal RNA, 438 nt
Filed under: Triticum aestivum (bread wheat)
Lineage: Eukaryota; Viridiplantae; Streptophyta; Magnoliopsida; Poales; Poaceae
Description: partial small subunit ribosomal RNA
Source: RNAcentral